GGCGAAGACGGGUAGCAGGUGUGAGAGCACGACCUGCAACAUCGGGACUGAGACACUGCCCGGACUCCUACGGGAGGCUGCAGUAACGAAUCUUCCGCAAUGGGCGAAAGCCUGACGGAGCAAUGCCGCGUGCGGGAUGAAGCGCCUAUGGCGUGUAAACCGCUGUCAGGGGACGGAACCAAUGAUUGUCCCCAGAGGAAGUGGCGACUAACUCUGUGCCAGCAGUCGCGGUAAUACAGAGGCCACGAGCGUUAAUCGGAAUCACUGGGCUUAAAGGGUGCGCAGGCGGCUCGAAAAGCGUUCCGUGAAAUCCCCCGGCUCAACCGGGGAACUGCGGAGCGAACUGCCGAGCUUGAGGCAGUAGGGCGGGCAGAACUGUAGGUGGAGCGGUGAAAUGCGUAGAUAUCUACAGGAAUGCCGACUAGG
RNAcentral lists this ribosomal RNA (426 nucleotides) under uncultured bacterium. RNAcentral's name for it is "bacterial SSU rRNA". It matches the Rfam family "Bacterial small subunit ribosomal RNA", at positions 272 to 717 of the family's 1533-position model. The record is from RNAcentral.